RNAcentral lists this ribosomal RNA (301 nucleotides) under uncultured bacterium. RNAcentral's name for it is "partial 16S ribosomal RNA". It matches the Rfam family "Bacterial small subunit ribosomal RNA", at positions 509 to 809 of the family's 1533-position model. The record is from RNAcentral.
CAGUCGCCGCGGUAAUACGAAGGGUGCAAGCGUUAAUCGGAAUUACUGGGCGUAAAGCGUGCGCAGGCGGUUGUGCAAGACAGAUGUGAAAUCCCCGAGCUUAACUUGGGAACUGCAUUUGUGACUGCACGGCUAGAGUGUGUCAGAGGGGGGUAGAAUUCCACGUGUAGCAGUGAAAUGCGUAGAUAUGUGGAGGAAUACCGAUGGCGAAGGCAGCCCCCUGGGAUAACACUGACGCUCAUGCACGAAAGCGUGGGGAGCAAACAGGAUUAGAUACCCCAGUAGUCCCUGUCUCUUAUAA